Molecule: long non-coding RNA, 935 nt
Filed under: Lactuca sativa (garden lettuce)
Lineage: Eukaryota; Viridiplantae; Streptophyta; Magnoliopsida; Asterales; Asteraceae
Description: long non-coding RNA (LSAT_LNC008666)
Source: RNAcentral
UUUUGUUCUAGGACAAUACUGAUUCCUGUGUUUUAUAGUGAAGUGAGUAUAUAUAUACUUAGUUAGAUCUUUUAGAUACUUAACAGUAUAUAUUCUUGGUCAGAGUGUUUUAGUCCCGAAGUGUUUAUAGUUCGUAUAUCUUUUAUAGGUUGAUAUACUUGAUUCACUAUAAACAAUGCUCUGAUACCAAUCUGUCNUUAGUCCCGAAGUGUUUAUAGUUCGUAUAUCUUUUAUAGGUUGAUAUACUUGAUUCACUAUAAACAAUGCUCUGAUACCAAUCUGUCACACCCCAAAACCGAUAACGGCGGAAUACGUUUCGGGGUGGAUGACGUAGCGAACAGUAUCAUCACAAUUGCAUAAUAGUAGAAACAAGAAACAUACAACCAUAGUAUUAGAUAGUGAGUUUAAUUACAAGUGUGUUUUUAUAAUAUUUAACAAUCACCCAAAAGUAAAUCAAAAAUAAGAGAUGGGUCUUGUGUGCUCCACUUUCUCCAAAAACGUUGCGUCUGUACCUGUUUAUCUUUGACCUGAAGAUACAAGUUAUUUUGAAAACGAUUAUCAGCAUAAAGCUGGUGAGUUCAUAAGAGUUUAGUGUGAGUUUUUGUAUACAAAGCAUUAGUGUUAAAAAUGUAUCAUUACGUUCAUAAAUAGUAGAGACUUAGAAAAUCCCAUGUUUUCCGGGAAAAACAUUGUAAGUGACAAUCUGUGAAAAGUAUGCAUUCUUUAUUCCUUUGAAAACAGUUUAUUUUAUAAAUACAUUGGCAAUCUCCAAAUAACAAGUGUGGUGGAAUAGGUUGAGCCUGUAAAUCAGUGAUAGAGGUGCAAGCUUCCUUUAGUGAUAGAUACUUACUUAUUUCGGGAUGCAGUUUAACAUUUAGUGUAGUAUUUUAGAGUUGUUGUAGGGUAUUCCUUGUAUAUUACCACUAGUGAGGAUA